Molecule: ribosomal RNA, 497 nt
Filed under: uncultured bacterium
Lineage: Bacteria
Description: partial 16S ribosomal RNA
Rfam family: Bacterial small subunit ribosomal RNA
Source: RNAcentral
GAUGAACGCUGGCGGCGUGCCUAAUACAUGCAAGUCGAGCGAACAGACGAGGAGCUUGCUCCUCUGACGUUAGCGGCGGACGGGUGAGUAACACGUGGAUAACCUACCUAUAAGACUGGGAUAACUUCGGGAAACCGGAGCUAAUACCGGAUGAUAUAUUGAACCGCAUGGUUCAAUAGUGAAAGACGGUUUUGCUGUCUCUUCUAGAUGGAUCCGCGCCGCAUUAGCUAGUUGGUAAGGUAACGGCUUACCAAGGCAACGAUGCGUAGCCGACCUGAGAGGGUGAUCGGCCACACUGGAACUGAGACACGGUCCAGACUCCUACGGGAGGCAGCAGUAGGGAAACUUCCGCAGUGGGCGAAAGCCUGACGGAGCGACGCCGCGUGAGUGAUGAAGGUCUUCGGAUCGUAAAACUCUGUUAUUAGGGAAGAACAAAUGUGUAAGUAACUGUGCACGUCUUGACGGUACCUAAUCAGAAAGCCACGGCUAACUACGUG